CACAGUAGUUAUCGGGCUCUUUUUGGGUGUAUUGACUAUGUCGUCGUUUAAUUAUCUAUCACGCUUAUUUAGCCAAUAAGAAAAUAGCGUGAGUAUAACCCC
RNAcentral lists this non-coding RNA (102 nucleotides) under Staphylococcus sp. AtHG25. The record is from RNAcentral. Lineage: Bacteria; Bacillati; Bacillota; Bacilli; Caryophanales; Staphylococcaceae.